UGGGCUUAUCGUCUAACGGAUUAGGACAAAAACCUUCUAAGUUUUAAUGUAGGUUCGAUUCCUACUAAGCCCAUC
RNAcentral lists this transfer RNA (75 nucleotides) under Rhizochromulina marina. RNAcentral's name for it is "tRNA-Arg". It matches the Rfam family "tRNA". From Rfam's summary of the family: Transfer RNA (tRNA) molecules are approximately 80 nucleotides in length. Their secondary structure includes four short double-helical elements and three loops (D, anti-codon, and T loops). Further hydrogen bonds mediate the characteristic L-shaped molecular structure. tRNAs have two regions of fundamental functional importance: the anti-codon, which is responsible for specific mRNA codon recognition, and the 3' end, to which the tRNAs corresponding amino acid is attached (by aminoacyl-tRNA synthetases). tRNAs cope with the degeneracy of the genetic code in two manners: having more than one tRNA (with a specific anti-codon) for a particular amino acid; and 'wobble' base-pairing, i.e. permitting non-standard base-pairing at the 3rd anti-codon position. The record is from RNAcentral. Lineage: Eukaryota; Dictyochophyceae; Rhizochromulinales.